This 519-nucleotide ribosomal RNA is filed under the name uncultured Gammaproteobacteria bacterium. Its description in RNAcentral is "bacterial SSU rRNA". It matches the Rfam family "Bacterial small subunit ribosomal RNA", at positions 373 to 882 of the family's 1533-position model. Lineage: Bacteria; Pseudomonadati; Pseudomonadota; Gammaproteobacteria. The record is from RNAcentral.
GGAGGCACUCUGAUGCAGACCAUGCCGCGUGUGUGAAGAAGGCCUUUUGGUUUGUUAAAGCACUUUAAGCAGUGAAGAAGACUCUUCGGUUAAUACCCGGAGACGAUGACAUUAGCUGCAGAAUAAGCACCGGCUAACUCUGUGCCAGCAGCCGCGGUAAUACAGAGGGUGCAAGCGUUAAUCGGAAUUACUGGGCGUAAAGCGAGCGUAGGUGGCUUGAUAAGUCAUGAUGUGAAAUCCCCGGGCUUAACCUGGGAACUGCAUCUGAAACUGGUACGCUAGAGUCCUGAAGAGGGUGGUAGAAUUUCCAGUGUAGCGGUGAAAUGCGUAGAUAUUGGAAGGAAUACCGGUGGCGAAGGCGGCCACCUGAUCAGAGACUGACGCUAAGGUACGAAAGCGUGGGGAGCAAACAGGAUAGACACCCUGGUAGUCCACGCCGUAAACGAUGUCAACUAGUUGUUCGUGUCAUUAAGACGUGAGUAACGCAGCUCACGCACUAAGUUGACCGCCUGGUGAGUA